Molecule: ribosomal RNA, 433 nt
Filed under: uncultured bacterium
Lineage: Bacteria
Description: partial 16S ribosomal RNA
Rfam family: Bacterial small subunit ribosomal RNA
Source: RNAcentral
AGCGAACGCUGGCGGCAGGCCUAACACAUGCAAGUCGAACGAACUCUUCGGAGUUAGUGGCGGACGGGUGAGUAACACGUGGGAACGUGCCUUUUGGUUCGGAAUAACUCAGGGAAACUUGUGCUAAUACCGAAUGUGCCCUUCGGGGGAAAGAUUUAUCGCCAUUAGAGCGGCCCGCGUCUGAUUAGCUAGUUGGUGAGGUAACGGCUUACCAAGGCGACGAUCAGUAGCUGGUCUGAGAGGAUGACCAGCCACACUGGGACUGAGACACGGCCCAGACUCCUACGGGAGGCAGCAGUGGGGAAUCUUGCGCAAUGGGCGAAAGCCUGACGCAGCCAUGCCGCGUGAAUGAUGAAGGUCUUAGGAUUGUAAAAUUCUUUCACCGGGGACGAUAAUGACGGUACCCGGAGAAGAAGCCCCGGCUAACUUCGUG